UCCGUGGCUUUGUGAUUCCAGUCCACAGGGUCUGGGUGACAUUCCCUCUGCUCUACUCCACCACCUGCUGCACCAGCGACAUGGAUUACAGAUAAGCAUGGCAGCUCAGACUGGUUAAUUGGUUCAGUUCGAAAAGUAACACCUCCGCCAGGCUCCGAGGGGACACGUCUCUGGCCUCCUCUCCACCCACCGGCAGGGUCAUGGGGUUGUAGCUGCCGUUCAUCAGGAGCUGGAAGUACCGGAGGCGAUUGUCACCUGCAAAACAAUAAACAUGAGAGGAUCUGAUCCCAAGUUCAUAGAGCGGGUAUAAAGCCAGUGAAUGUUUAAUAAUGUUUAAUAAAGCUUAUUAAGCACAUUUGUAAAAGGAGCAGCGUGCACUAACAACAGUUUCCUAUCUGAACAUUUUGUAAACACUGUUAUACAAUAAAUAUGGUGAAUGUAAA
Limanda limanda (common dab) is the source of this 443-nucleotide long non-coding RNA. RefSeq lists it as uncharacterized. The record is from RefSeq and is a predicted model, not a curated record. The transcript is spliced from 2 exons. Lineage: Eukaryota; Metazoa; Chordata; Actinopteri; Pleuronectiformes; Pleuronectidae.